GGGAAUUGUCCUGGCCUCUGGGACCCCUCUGCUUCCCCAGUGAGGCUCAGUGGGGCUCCGGAAGGGGGGCUUAGCAGGGUUUUUAGCAGAGCAGAAGGCUCCUAACUGUUUAGAGAACUGGUUUUAGCAAAACGUUGCUAAGGGCUAAAUCCACCUGCCACCUGUAUUUGUCAGGAAGCUUUCCUGGGGCCUCAUCACAUAUGAUUCAUAGUAACUAAAGAGCUGAGUCAUGUGGUGGACCAUUUUAACCUGUAAAGCCUGAAGUGCUGACCACUGGGCCUUGUAUGGAGAGUCUGCUGGCUCCUAGAACUGUCUAGAACCACCUCCUGUUGGACAUCUGCUAUUAUUAUUAAAAGUCUCAGAACUUGAGCUGGCAAGGUGACUCAGUGGGUAAAGGCCCUUUGCCACAGAAGGCUGAUGACGUGAGUUUGGUCCUCAGAACCCAAGGUGGAAGAAGAGAAUCAACUUGGGAAAGCUAUCCUCACAUGCUGCAGCAUCAGCACCACCACCAUCACCAUCACCAUCACCAUCACCAUCACCAUCACCAUCACCAUCACCAUCACCUUCAUAAAUAACAUUAAGAAUAAAUAAAAGUCCUGUCAUUUCAACAUCCAUGGUGUCCUAGAAGUUGAGAGUGCUUUUGCCUUGUGGACUUAGAAUCUUCUCUGCAGACUAAAACCUGAUUUCCACGUCUACUCUGCCCCUUCCUUACCUGUGACUGUCAGCAAGUCACCCGCCUUCCUCCUGCUGGGACUCCCUGAGACCCCAAAAUAAGUUGGACUGUGAUUUACUGGCAACACUUACAAAUUACAUAUUGCAAUGAUAUAUCAUUCAUAUGUAAUAUGAUUAUAAACUACACGUUUAAAAAGUGGGACCUUGAAACAUUAGGAGCCUUACCUGUGGUCUGGUCACUAGGAGUGGACUGCAAAGCCAAAACCCGAUCCUGUCUCUCAGGCAGCCCCACUUGCACCAUGUCCUCAGCCUCUCUGAACACCUGCUGUAAGGGGGGGGCUCGCUAUCCCCAUCCCCACCCGCUCCCACCCUGAGCAUUCACAUAGGAAUCUGCCCUAUAUUUGUAGGAAUCUAUAUUUGCCACACUUUGGCUCCUGGUUUGAAUAGCUUCUUCCCAUCUCUGUAAAGUCCAGAAAGAGAAUGCACACAUUCUUGAGGCUGUCUCCCAACUUUCUAGGAGCCAGGAGCAGGCUGAGCCUAAUGCAUUUGCAGCAAGCAAGACCUGGGCAGAAAUUUCCUGUUUCUGUUAUAUUCCCCUACAGGAAGCCCUCCCUGAUGCCUAAAGCUCCCAGUAUUCCUGCCUGGACCGCUUCUCGUUGAGACAGGUCAGUAACAACCCCAGGACUCUCUAACCCUUGCAUUCUUUCUGCUGGUUUUCAACGUGCCCUGAUUGUCUGCUCUCUUCCUACGAUUGUGUGGCAAUAAUGAAUCCCAGCACAUAAAUGCCUUGCAUUGAAGUUAUCCUCACGACCAAUCCCACUUGUAAGAUGCUGGACCUGGGACCCAUGGGGAGGAGAAACAGACAGUAAGAGGCCUGCAGAGAAGCCCUGUGUGUCCCUUACGGGGAAACCCUCCUGCCCGCUUCUCCUCACAUAGGUACCGAGACGUCAUCUGCGGCUGCUGCAGAUACUGACUAGUUGGGGGUGACACAGACAAUCGAGAAGCUGUUGAUAAAGCAAAUCCCGUGUGCCAACCAGUUUCUAAGCACACUGCCUUAGUCGAGCCCCAGGGCAGGUAUUUCUAUUCCUGAGCAGGUUGGAUGUCCUGGGGAAUCAGGCUCGACCCAGGACUCUGGUGGGUAAGGCUUUUAGCUCACCCCCAGCAGCCCUAAGAGGCCAGAUCAUAUCCUUUCAGGGAGUGGAAAAGGAAACACUGAGCCCUUUUACAGGGUUUCUUGUGUGUGCCUAGCAGCCUCUGAGGAUGGCCGAGCUGCCACGGAUGGAAGAAACAGUUUAUUUUUCCUGUGAGCCGCUCUGGAGCCUUUCAAAGGUGUGAAGUUGCAGAGCCUCCAAAUGCUGACUCCAUGGGGCUGCACAGGGCCAGCCCUGCCUGGGCCUCAGACCCCUCCACCCACCCACCCCCAGUCACAAGCUCCAGCUCUUCAUGUGCUGUGGGAGCUCCCCUAGGCCCAUCUGGCCUCUCCUGUGCUGAAAGGCUGCAGAGUGACAGGCCAGAAACCCGAUUCAGUGUUUAUUCACUAAACACUGAGAGAGCCCUCCUGAGUCUCCUCCCCACCCAAAGCCUCUGCUACUUGGGGGGGUGAGGGGGGGCACUGUCCAUCUGCCAUGCUCAGCAUACCUGGUGUACUUGCCCCAGGAGAUCAGACACAAGGAGGAGCAUCCGGACUGGCCAUGAAGCAAGAAAAAAUCUGGUAAGGCGGAAGAAAGAACUGCCACCCGGUGGCAUCAGUCGAAAGAGGAGGAACCCCAAGUCCUGUGGAUUCUGGAUGGAGCUGAGAAGGUCCCUUGACUGAAAGCGCGGCACACCACUGCACUCUGCACAGCCCCAGGUGCUCCGUGUAGCCCACCCUCAGUCUUCUCUGCUGGAGGUCUCCAGAUCUGUGGCUCUCCCAGUGUCGCUGGCUCUCAGGCCUCCCCUCUCAGCACCAAAUCCAGCUGUGCAAACCCCCUUCUGGCCCAGGAGGACCUCAGCCUUGGACACGGGGGUGCUGCGGGGCUCCUCCACAGGGAAUUCCUGGGAAGGUUUUGUUCACCAGGGAUGGCAGAUGAGGUUCCUCAGUUCCAGCCUCAGCUUGAGCAUGUUCCUGGGGCAGAGCAGGACAGGAAGCUCCGAGGGCCGAAGGAACUCCAUGUGGAGUAUUUCCUGCUCCACUUCUCACUCCCUUCAAUGCUGUCCCAGACUACAGGGCAGCCCGUGGGACACACAGAAAGGAGUGAGCUACAACAGACACCAUUCGGGCAGAAAGACGCCAGAUGCCAGCAUUUGAAGACCUGGUUCCCCAGUCGGUGUUGCUGUUUGGGGACAUUACGGAACCUUUAGGAGCUGCGGCCUUGCUGGAAGAGUAUGUCACCAGAGGGAGCCUUUGAAGGUUUAUAGCCACUUCCAGUUUGCUUUCUCGGCUUCCUGUACAAUAGAAUGUCUUCAGUCAGCUUCCCGCCGAAGCUGUGCCAAGCCUGCCUCACUAAUAGGGGUGUCCUUCGGAAUCCUAAGCCAAAAUAAACUCUUUCCCCAAUGA
Long non-coding RNA from Rattus norvegicus (Norway rat), 3208 nucleotides. RefSeq lists it as uncharacterized. The record is from RefSeq and is a predicted model, not a curated record. Lineage: Eukaryota; Metazoa; Chordata; Mammalia; Rodentia; Muridae.